RNAcentral lists this ribosomal RNA (198 nucleotides) under Triticum aestivum (bread wheat). RNAcentral describes it as "partial small subunit ribosomal RNA". Lineage: Eukaryota; Viridiplantae; Streptophyta; Magnoliopsida; Poales; Poaceae. The record is from RNAcentral.
AUGGAGGACGCUGUAGCCGGGCCUGAUGUCGGGGCGAUACUUAAGAAUGUCAGGGUGUGCAUCACGGCGUCGAGGAAGGCCGUGGUGGAAGGCGGGUUGUCAGACGGCCAGGUACAUGCGUUCGUGGACGGGGUCAUAUUAUAUUUCCUAUCAGUCAUACAGAGAGCCAGGCAGGCUACAUUCUCAAAUCAAGUGUGA